This is a non-coding RNA of Microcebus murinus (gray mouse lemur), 532 nucleotides long. Lineage: Eukaryota; Metazoa; Chordata; Mammalia; Primates; Cheirogaleidae. The record is from RefSeq and is a predicted model, not a curated record.
GACUUUGAACCUUGAGAAAGUGUCAGUGUACUAACCAGAUGUCCAUGUGGUCUGAUCCUACUCACAGGUUCUUUAUAGAAUUUCUCUAGGUGCCAGCCUAAUGCCUGAUCUUUGUUCUCCUGUCUUCCUACCUACUUUGUGAGCGACCUGAUGAGAUGGGAGGAGAAUUUGAUGUGAGAUUGAAGACACUGGAAAGAAAGUAAAGUAAUAAACCAGAAAAUCUAAAUCUACCCUGAGUAAGAAUGCAUGUGAAGGCAGGGACAGGCAAAGGAGGAAAAUGAGAGGAUCAGAUGCUGGGACUCCAUUGAGGACACAGAACAGACAAGGAACUGAUCAUAAAGAAAUUCCCUGACCUAACUUGCCUAAUAGGAGAUUCCUACCCUACACCUAGAAGGAACACUAUACAGAGAGGCUUAGAAGAAUCUGAGCAGAUAGUAUCACCCUUGUGAAACCUAAGGCCAGUUUUUGAGGCAUCUUCCAGGCCCUGCAUUCUGGUGGACGGGCUGACCCACCCAGAUUGGUGGCCCAUACC